CCUACGGGAGGCUGCAGUGAGGAAUAUUGGUCAAUGGGCGCGAGCCUGAACCAGCCACGCAGCGUGAAGGAAGAAUGCUUUCCGGGUUGUAAACUCUUUUUAUAAAGGAGAAAAGUGAGGCACGUGUGUCCUCUUGUACGUACUUUAUGUAUAAGGAACGGCUAACUUCGUGCCAGCAGCCGCGGUAAUACGGAGGAUCCGAGCGUUAUCCGGAUUUAGUGGGGUGAAAGGGAGCGUAGAUGGGUUGUUAAGUCAGAUGUGAAAGGGUGCGGCUCAACCGUAAAAUUGCAAUUGAUACUGGCAGCCUUGAGUGCAGUAGAGGUAAGCGGAAUUCGUGGUGUAGCGGUGAAAUGCGUAGAUAUCAGGAGGAACACCAGUUGCGAAGGCGGCCUACUAGACUGUCACUGACGUUGAUGCUCGAAAGUGUGGGGAGCAAACAGGAUUAGAUACCCGAGUAGUC
RNAcentral lists this ribosomal RNA (460 nucleotides) under uncultured bacterium. Its description in RNAcentral is "partial 16S ribosomal RNA". It matches the Rfam family "Bacterial small subunit ribosomal RNA", at positions 338 to 795 of the family's 1533-position model. The record is from RNAcentral.